GACGAACGCUGGCGGCGUGCUUAACACAUGCAAGUCGAACGGAAAGGCCCUGCUUUUGUGGGGUUCUCGAUUGGCGAACGGGUGAGUAACACGUGAGUAACCUGCCCUUGACUUUGGGAUAACUUCAGGAAACUGGGGCUAAUACCGGAUAGGAGCUCCUGCUGCAUGGUGGGGGUUGGAAAGUUUCGGCGGUUGGGGAUGGACUCGCGGCUUAUCAGCUUGUUGGUGGGGUAGUGGCUUACCAAGCCUUUGACGGGUAGGCGGCCUGAGAGGGUGACCGGGCACCUGGGGACUGAGAUACGGACCAGACUCCUACGGGAGGCAGCAGUGGGGAAUAUUGCAGAAUGGGCGGAAGCCUGAUGCAGAAACGCCGCGUGCGGGAUGACGGCCUUCGGGUUGUAAACCGCUUUCGACUGUGACGAAGCGUGAGUGACGGUAAUGGGUAAAGAAGCACCGGCUAACUACGUG
RNAcentral lists this ribosomal RNA (468 nucleotides) under uncultured bacterium. RNAcentral describes it as "partial 16S ribosomal RNA". It matches the Rfam family "Bacterial small subunit ribosomal RNA", at positions 28 to 507 of the family's 1533-position model. The record is from RNAcentral.